ACGAUAGCGCUGGAACAACUGAGCGAGACGGUGGUGGACGCGCUGUCGUCGCUGGUGGGCGCGCACGCGGCCGCGCGCGGCGCGCACAAGCUGUUCCACACGCUGCAGAACACCACGCACAACAAGCAGCUCGCCUACGAACUCUUCGAACUGGUCCUCAUGGAGGUGUUUCCAGAGCUGAAACGCUACCAUACCUAACACCCAAAAGUAAGCGACGCUCAAGACAAUAUUAUAUCAAAUUUCGUAACCGUACAGGGAUUGAACAGGCAAAAUUAAAUUGUCUGAUAUUUUGCUACACUCUUAAAACAUUCCGAUUUACAGUAUUUUUCACAACAGUGGACUGAAAAACCUACAAUCCAUUACUUUUAAAUUAGUAUGUACCUACCUACAUGUAACAAAAAUAUUAAUUCUUUGGUAAACAUACUUCGAACUCUUGGAGGUUAGAAGUUAAAAAUUGCUCUCAAAUUAAAAAAAAACAUCGCAAUGAGAAUUUGCGAGUUCAGCAGCGGUAUCAUGGUCGCAUUUUUAUCACCUGCCUUGUCAUGCAUCACUUUCGCACUUACUUGUUAGAACGUGACAGGCAUGGUGAUAAAUGAUAAAGAGCCGACCAUCUUAGCCCUACUGGUUGAUCUCACCUUCGUGUUCAGUUUAUAUUCAUGUAAUACUAAUAUUUAGAUCUGUAAAUUUCUUAGAUAUAUCUACGUGCCAAAGAUUGCACCGUGUGAAUAGCUUCUUAGAUGUACGGCUUAAAUGUUAACAUGUACCUGAGUUUUAUAUCAAAUCUAUUUAUCUAGACUUUUAUCUUUUGUACUGAUGAUUAUUUCCAUCAUUUUCUAGUCUUUGUUGAUCUUCUGAACUAUAUGCGUAGGUGUUGAAGUGUUGGUAUUGUAUUAACAAUUUGUAUAAAGCCUCUUAGUUAGCUUUUUGCUGGGGUUCUGAUGGUGCACCAAGCAAUUGUUAUAUAAAUACACAGUCGUUUCAUAUUAAUAUAUAGGUAUAGAUACUUUACCUUAUUUAUAAGUAGAAUGGAUACUUCUAUUCUAAUUAUCUGAAAUUAAAAAAUAAACGAGUUAAUGAUGAUAAUUGUUGUCUUUUAUGCAAGGUACCAUCGCCAACACUUUGUCAACGAUGUCAUUUAAUUUAUUUGUAUUUGAAGGUGAAAAAUAAAAGACGAAUAAUUUGAAUAAAUUCUAUUUUUUAAUGUUCAAUAUAAUAAAUCUGACGACUUUGGACCCAGGGAGGCGCUGGUGCCCAAGCCGUAUUAUUUUUUACCUAAUGUUAAACCUAGACAUGAAUUUGGCCAAAUCGACAAACAUAAUACUGAAUUUUGGCACGAACAGUGUCGGGACAAUUAAAUAAUUAUCAAAUAAGUUUACAUCAGCCCUGAGCGUUCAAAUUAUUGUGCACCUGGAUGGAACUUAUGCAAAUACAUAUUAAAUAUUUAAUAAUAAAGUAACUGCCAUCUCUAGUUCCCCAUCCUAUAGCUUUCAAAGCAUCUGGUAUCACAGCACUCUUAUAGGUAUUAUUUAACUCUUUCCCUUAACCGCUACAUGUAAAAUCAUCUGAGUAACAAACGCAAAAUCAAUAACAUACAUCAUCAUACCAUAACGGCAUCAAAAUAGUUCAAAGAUUUAAAGUUUGAUGUCAAGUCACACAUGUGGUUUUCGUUUCAAAGAGUUCCAUACAUAGGAAUAUGUUAAUCAUUUACAUAUAGCUUGUGUGUUGAAUCUUAAACCUAACAAUAAGUAUGAUGAAUGUUCUUUUAAAUUACCAAUAGUCCAUGUAAGGAACUGCUCCAGUUUUCAUUCAAUCAAAUUUUCGACACGGCUUCUUCAUAUUUUUUUGAUCUUGAUAAAGAUUUAAAUACAUUCUUUCAAUAAUGUUACGAUUUUUAAAAGUGGUGUUAAUAUCUUCACUUAAAUUCUUAGCAAACAAGCGGGGCGGAAUGUAUCGUUAAUUAAUAAAUCUAACUAUCACAUAAGUAACGGAGUUAACGGUUGUACAGUCAGCAGCAGAAGUGUCUGAAAGAGUGCUAAAAAUUAUUUUUCACCACAUCAGCACGUAAAGGUUCUGUUUAUUCUUCAAAAACUUAUGAUAAAGUUGCAUUUUAGUCACAAGAGUGGCAAAGUAGUUUGGUGCAGCAUUUCUUCCGUCAAGUUACCUACUUCUGGCGCUGUCUGUACCUUAACAUGACCAUCGAUGUACCUUAUUGGGCUUAUUGCAACGAGAUGUCUUCUCAUGAACAAUUAUUGUUUUGUUUGUAGUUAAUUAGCUGCAGUACUUACUCCUAAUAAGAGAUAAGAAAAUGUAUACAAUAAACAUAUAUUAUUUAACAACUGUAUUUGUAAAAACGUAAAAGCAACUUUGUGUCAAAAUUCUUCGUUACUUUAUUUUGCCUCUCUGAAACCAUCUGCUCAUUUAAUUACCAUCCUAAUCCUACCUAAGAUUAAAACACCCUGUGAAACUUUAUGUGUGCAUUUUUGCGCGAGGUCACGACGUAAAUGCACAAAUAAAAAAAAACAAAAACCAUAGGAUUUGAUUCGUUCAUCUGUUUUACCGGAUUUGAGGAUCAAAGUUCUAUACCUCGAAAUAAAAAUUUUGAGGUCUGGUAUUUUAACUAUAGGCUUCAGGUUCAUUUUAUUUAGCUGAAUGUACCUAUACAGUAGAUAAGGGUACCUGAAAUUGUACAUUAAAUUGCGGCUAAACAAAACCACGUAAAACGGGCAAUAUUCGUUUUCAUUAUUCUCGGCCUUUUUAAAUUUCUUUCACCUGGCAUCAUCAUAUCAGUCAAAAGAUUUCCAAUGUUGGGUGAAGCCAGCGUUCCUUCUCUGGCCUUAUACAACGGGUGCGAUGUCGGCCGUCUUGGGGAACGCUCCCAAUAUAAAUAUAUGCCAAAUAUCCACUACCUACUUUUAACUCUGGCAACUCGCUCGCUGCCGACCUUAAAGCUGUAUCCAGACGAGACAGUUUUUCGAAAAUCUGAUGAAAUUCUCCGAUCGAACAGGGCCACGCAAAUACCAAUUUGAUUCCCCGAUCACAUCAGCAGACACAAAAAUGCCAAUUUUCAUAGUAGAAUGCAAAUUGGUGAUUUAAUUUGUGUACGUGUGGACGCUAGAUGAGAUUGAUCAAUUAUUUUCCUGAACAAAUCGACUGAUACCCCUUGAUUCUCCGUCAAUCUUAUUUUUGUGAGUUUUUUUGUUCUUUGAGUAGGUAGCCAAUUUUGAGCUUGACAUUACAAUCAACACAUUGGACGAGAAGAUAUUACCUACGUCCGAAAACGGCCUGUCCGAGUAAAAUUUGUUUUCUCCAAUAUGCUCGGAAAUGUUCACCUUACUGUAGCAAAAAUAGUACGGGAAGUUCUUCGUUAAUGUCAAACUCUAACUAAAAAACACAACAUCACAACAAACAUAACAUCAAACUAUCGCUGUCCUGUUCUAGCGGACGGGAAGUAAAAAAACACUACAGUAAUAACUUAUUACUGUAGUGUUUUUUACUUUUUAAUAAUAAAAAACGCAAACAGCCAAUUAUUAUUGCCGUGAGCCGCUUCUACACGACCCGAUCAGCUAUCAUUUCACGUGUAUGAUCGUGCGAAUACUGCUUAAUAAAAUCAAAGAUUAUUUUUAUAUUUUUUUUAAAUCUCAUCCGUGUUCAUAAAGCUUACAUAGUUUGUCAAAGGACUUUCUCAUUUCAAACAUAGACAAAGAGAAUCAUACUAUCUUUGUCUUACACUAGUACUAGCACCCAAAAGAAAAGGAUGGGUGUAGUUUUCCUGGUUCUUACUGACUGAAAAGUUGGUUUGACAAACUAUAUUGCGCAAUUAUAUUGAAUGAACGAAUAUUGAAUGGUACUGAAUGGCAGAAUAAGUUUGUGCCUUUAACUUUUAAAAAUUAACUAAAGAGGGAAAUUGUUUUUGACAUUUUGGAUGUGAAGGUUUGAUUUGAGUGAUGCUUGAUGCUUAAAUAAUAAUUAUUUUAGCUUAUUUCCUCGCAUGUUUGGAGAAAAGCACUAUAUAUGCCUCGGCAGGAACAGCAAUUCGUGGAUUCGUCUUCUUUGUCGGACUCCGCUUCG
Long non-coding RNA from Cydia fagiglandana, 4068 nucleotides. RefSeq lists it as uncharacterized. The record is from RefSeq and is a predicted model, not a curated record. The transcript has 2 exons. NCBI's taxonomy places the organism in Eukaryota, Metazoa, Arthropoda, Insecta, Lepidoptera, Tortricidae.